UUUUCCCCCCGACAUGGUUCUUCCUCUUCCUCUUCCGCUUCCGCUCUGAUCACACUUCGCGCCAAGGAGGAUUUUUUUUUAUUUUGUUUAAUUAAAGGAGCUGCUGGUGUAAACUAGUCUCAUCACGAUCAAUAAGAAAGAAAAACUCAUUUAUUUUGUUGUGGAUUAUGGACAUCAGGCGGUUCUUUGUAUCAAGCAAACCCGCAGCACAGAAACCAUCUCAGGAUGGAACCCUCCACACGGAGAAGGAAUCUACGAAGAAGAAGAAGAAAUCCGUCUCAACAGACGAAGAAGUAAAGAAGAAGAAACCUGCCACCAAGGUAUUUAUUAUUAUAAACCAGAGUCUCUAGUCAGUGAACUGGUCGACCACCAAGGUAUUAAUAUAAACCAGAGUCUCUAGUCAGUGAACUGGUCGACCACCAAGGUAUUAAUAUAAACC
Oncorhynchus keta (chum salmon) is the source of this 439-nucleotide long non-coding RNA. RefSeq lists it as uncharacterized. The record is from RefSeq and is a predicted model, not a curated record. The transcript is spliced from 3 exons. NCBI's taxonomy places the organism in Eukaryota, Metazoa, Chordata, Actinopteri, Salmoniformes, Salmonidae.